UUACGGGAGGCAGCAGUGAGGAAUUUUGCGCAAUGGGGGAAACCCUGACGCAGCAACGCCGCGUGAGUGAUGAAGGCCUUCGGGUCGUAAAGCUCUGUCAAGUGGGAAGAACCUGUCACGUGAUAAUACCACGGGGCACUGACGGUACCACUGAAGGAAGCACCGGCUAACUCCGUGCCAGCAGCCGCGGUAAUACGGGGGGUGCUAGCGUUAUUCGGAAUCAUUGGGCGUAAAGGGCGCGUAGGCGGUCUCUUAAGUCAGAUGUGAAAGCCCUCGGCUUAACCGAGGAAGUGCAUUUGAUACUAAGUGACUUGAGUAUGGGAGAGGGAAGCGGAAUUCCUGGUGUAGCGGUGAAAUGCGUAGAUAUCAGGAGGAACACCGGUGGCGAAGGCGGCUUCCUGGACCAAUACUGACGCUGAGGCGCGAAGGCGUGGGGAGCAAACAGGAUUAGAUACCCCGGUAGUC
This 465-nucleotide ribosomal RNA is filed under the name uncultured bacterium. RNAcentral's name for it is "bacterial SSU rRNA". It matches the Rfam family "Bacterial small subunit ribosomal RNA", at positions 339 to 795 of the family's 1533-position model. The record is from RNAcentral.